This 1381-nucleotide long non-coding RNA is filed under the name Anas platyrhynchos platyrhynchos (common mallard). Its description in RNAcentral is "lncRNA (ENSAPLG00000016602.1)". The record is from RNAcentral. Lineage: Eukaryota; Metazoa; Chordata; Aves; Anseriformes; Anatidae.
AUGAGAUCUUGCAGAUGGCAGGAAGGAAUAGAAAAAGAAGCAAGCCUUCUAGCUUCCAAAUGUGAGACAAUUCUCUCCUCACAGGUGAAGUCUGUCUCAGAGAACUCAUCUCCACAGCAGCGGGUGACAGGCUAUGCUGCUAAUUCCUGUGGGGAGUCCACCUGGGAUGCUGGCACUGGAACAUCUUCACUACCACCCAUUCCCAGGCAGGAUUUCAUCCCUUUAAGAGGACUGGCUGAAUUCCCACCUCUAGUGUUGCAGUCUGCUUGAAAACUCAGACAUUGAUAAAGCCAUUAAGGUUCCAGAAGAAGCUUUAAGAGGAAGUGCCAGAACUUUGUUAGGGAAAGACUGCAGUACUUUUAGUCCCUGAGGAGGCCUGGCAAGAUUAUAAAGUGUGCUCUGCAGAAGACUGAGAGGUGGAGGAAGCAGACAAUAUGGAAAGUUAAUUGGAAGAAGGAAAAGUAUAAAAGAGGUACAGUGCAUGGGAAUGUAAAGAGAAAGGAAAUGAAUGAUGAGAGAAUGUGAGUCUUCUCUGGUUCAGUGUUAUGAUAUCACUGUCUGCAUUUGUCACAUAAUUUAAAAGUGACCUGCAAAUGAUUAUUUUUAUUACAUUUUUUCAUCACUUCUUGAUGACUUAAAAUGAAAGCUUGAAAGAGUUCACAGCUUGAUUUUUUUAAUAUACUCACUGUUGUUCUGUAUCUCAAGCAUUUUGUAUUCACACAAUUCUUGCCAGCACAAUUAAAUUAGCUUAGAUUGAUUUUGCUACAUUAAUGUAUGAUAUGUCUCCUACAGACACCCAAACCCUCAUCAGCAUCUGGGGGACACACUUCAGUUGGUGCAGUCAUUUUCAAUAGAUUUAGUUUCUGUCCAUAGGAAAUAGAUAAACUGGCAAAGCAUUUGCUGUAGUACAGACCUUCAAAAUAUCAGGAAGACAGAGAUGAGGGAAGCGGGAGAGGGUGGAAUUUUACAGGCAAAACUUACAUGUGCUAAAAAAAAAAAAGGAGGUUUGGGUGAGAUUUAUUUCCCUGCCUCAAUUCCCUUUGCAGCUCACCUUUAAAGGAAAAUAUUUUUAAUGCACAUGUAUUAAAUGUACUCAUGUUCAGUUAUGAUUGUUUUUUAAUGAAUAGGAUAUUCAUUACAUAUAAGCAUAUUGAGCUUACAGAAACAGCUGGAAAAAAUAGUGUAAGCAUUCCUUACACAUAAGUGAAGAAACAAGUAUGUAUGUCUGUGUGUUUAUGUGUAUAUGUGCAUACAUAUAAAAGCCACACAGCAUAUUAUCUGAGAGAGAGCCCUCACAAGGACAUGGAUGACAUGCAUGAUGGAAUUAAAAUGACAGAGUGAGAGGUGAAAAUAAAUCAAAACAUCAAACAGAAAAGGAACA